UCAGAUUGAACGCUGGCGGCAGGCCUAACACAUGCAAGUCGAGCGGUAACAGGAGAAAGCUUGCUUUCUUGCUGACGAGCGGCGGACGGGUGAGUAAUGUAUGGGGAUCUGCCCGAUAGAGGGGGAUAACUACUGGAAACGGUGGCUAAUACCGCAUAAUGUCUACGGACCAAAGCAGGGGCUCUUCGGACCUUGCACUAUCGGAUGAACCCAUAUGGGAUUAGCUAGUAGGUGGGGUAAAGGCUCACCUAGGCGACGAUCUCUAGCUGGUCUGAGAGGAUGAUCAGCCACACUGGGACUGAGACACGGCCCAGACUCCUACGGGAGGCAGCAGUGGGGAAUAUUGCACAAUGGGCGCAAGCCUGAUGCAGCCAUGCCGCGUGUAUGAAGAAGGCCUUAGGGUUGUAAAGUACUUUCAGCGGGGAGGAAGGUGAUAAGGUAAUACCC
This 447-nucleotide ribosomal RNA is filed under the name Proteus mirabilis. RNAcentral describes it as "bacterial SSU rRNA". It matches the Rfam family "Bacterial small subunit ribosomal RNA", at positions 24 to 472 of the family's 1533-position model. Lineage: Bacteria; Pseudomonadati; Pseudomonadota; Gammaproteobacteria; Enterobacterales; Morganellaceae. The record is from RNAcentral.